AAUAUUGGACAAUGGGCGAAAGCCUGAUCCAGCCAUGCCGCGUGUGUGAAGAAGGUCUUCGGAUUGUAAAGCACUUUAAGGUGGGAGGAAGGGGUUGAAGCUAAGCCCUUCAAUCUUUGACGUUACCAACAGAAUAACCACCGGCUAACUCUGUCCCAACAGCCGCGGUAAUACAGAGGGUGCAAGCGUUAAUCGGAAUUACUGGGCGUAAAGAGCGCGUAGGUGGUUCCGUAAGAUGGAAGGGAAAACCCCGGGCUGAACCUGGGAACUGGUUUCAUAAAUGCUGAGAUAGAGUACGGUAGGGGGUAGUGGAAUUUCCUUUGUAGCGGUGAAAUGCGUAGAUAUAGGAAGGAACACCAGUGGCGAAGGCGACUACCUGGACUGAUGCUGACACUGAGGUGCGAAAGCGUGGGGAGCAAACA
RNAcentral lists this ribosomal RNA (422 nucleotides) under uncultured bacterium. Its description in RNAcentral is "partial 16S ribosomal RNA". It matches the Rfam family "Bacterial small subunit ribosomal RNA", at positions 360 to 774 of the family's 1533-position model. The record is from RNAcentral.